GUUUAGACCAAGUCUGGUGAUAAGCAUCCGGACGUAAAGCAUGAAUUUUGCCGUGGUGAGAAUGGUAUCGUGUAACAACAGUAGGGGUCUUGAGGGGUGUGUAGGUUUCGUGGCUAAGAAAGCGUCCAGCGGUUUUACCGGGCACCAAUUGUUACCAGUGGGGUUGUAGUUUAUGUGAACUGGUUCCCCCAUCUGACUUGUCUUAGGUAGGGUCAGGACGUAGUAGUCUGUGUGUUUCGUGAGAUAUGACAUGAGGAGGCACCCUUGGUUAUGUUGUUGGCCACUAAUGGUGAACUCUCGUGGCCUAAGAAAACCAUAAAAAGCUAGAUACAUGGCGGCUUUAAUAACCGCGUUUGUAUUGGGUUCAAAUGGUGCCUGGUCGAGUAGGUUGGACAAUGAC
This is a non-coding RNA of Pelobates cultripes (western spadefoot toad), 400 nucleotides long. Lineage: Eukaryota; Metazoa; Chordata; Amphibia; Anura; Pelobatidae. The record is from the annotation of a GenBank genome assembly.